ACCGGCGCACGGGUGAGUAACACGUAUGCAACCUGCCUGCCACAGCCGGAUAAUCGGGAGAAAUUCCGUCUAAUACGGCAUAAUGCAUCGACGGGACAUCCUGUUGGUGCCAAAGGUUAAUUCCGGUGGCGGAUGGGCAUGCGUCGCAUUAGUUAGUUGGCGGUGUAACGGACCACCAAGACGACGAUGCGUAGGGGUUCUGAGAGGAAGGUCCCCCACACUGGUACUGAGACGCGGACCAGACUCCUACGGGAGGCAGCAGUGAGGAAUAUUGGUCAAUGGGCGGGAGCCUGAACCAGCCAAGUCGCGUGAGGGAUGACGGUCCUAUGGGUUGUAAACCUCUUUUGCCGGGGAGCAAAGUGCCGCACGUGUGCGGUUUGGAGAGUACCCGGAGAAAAAGCAUCGGCUAACUCCGUGCCAGCAGCCGCGGUAAUACGGAGGAUGCGAGCGUUAUCCGGAUUUAUUGGGUUUAAAGGGUGCGUAGGCGGAUUAGUAAGUCAGCGGUAAAAAUGCGGUGCUCAACGCCGUAUCGCCGUUGAAACUGCGGGUCUUGAGUGAGCGAGAAGUAUGCGGAAUGCGUGGUGUAGCGGUGAAAUGCAUAGAUAUUAGGAGGAACACCAGUGGCGAAGGCGGCUUACUGGACUGUAACUGACACUGAGGCUCGAAAGCGUGAGGAGCAAACAGGAUUAGAUACCCUGGUA
This 701-nucleotide ribosomal RNA is filed under the name uncultured bacterium. RNAcentral describes it as "bacterial SSU rRNA". It matches the Rfam family "Bacterial small subunit ribosomal RNA", at positions 94 to 792 of the family's 1533-position model. The record is from RNAcentral.